GGGGGAUGCUGGGCACUCCUGGCUCAGGCAUAGCUCAAGAGCAUCCUUUGGCUGUUCGAGCUCAGUGGAUCAGGCUGUGCUGCACACAGGCUGAUGAGCUGCUAAUGGCAAAGUAUACCCAGCUGGGCUGAGUGCUGCCAGGGCAAGGUGACUGCUGCUGAAGCAAAAUGCUUCAUGGAAAUUGUUGUCAUUUUGCAGCAAGGAGGGCUGUGUGUGUCACCUACUGGCAAGGAAGAGGAAGGGUGACUGGAAGGUAAAGGUCUGUCUCUCCCUGGAUGGUGCAGCACUCCCAGUGCACACAGGUGGAAAUCGAUAUCAUCUCAGAAGGACAGUCCACAGCAUUGUUGAGACUGUUGAAGGAGAUGUUCCAGCUGCCACCAGGCCAUGGAGAUGUGCUUCUGUCCAGACAGGGGGCUGCAUCCACUCGAGGACUGCAAAUAGGUUACAUCCAACCCAGAGAACCUGUCGCAUUGAGAGAUGUGUUGUGUGAAGCUUCUGCAGACUUCUAUUCCAGCUUUGAAUUCCUAUAGCUUACAGCCAUGGCAGACCUGCUUGAAACAUGAGCAUCAGGCUGCUCUUUGGGGCACUGCCCCAAACCAUGUUUGUCUCCUUUUAAACUGCAGUGUGGAUCCUUUGAGGUUUUGAGAUUGACUCCUGGGAAGUGCUCCAUUGGCAAUGGGAAGCGUUUGGGAUGACUUAAAAUCACAGAAUGGUUUGGGUUGGAAGGGACCUUAAUGAUCAUCCUGUUCCAACCCCAUAGCCAAGGGCAGGGACACCUUCACUACACCAGGCUGCUCCUGAAGCUUCUCUGGGCAACCUGGGCUCCUCCAGUGGUGUCUCCCACUUGUGGGGUGACAUGGCCUUUGCUCGGCUGGACCUGGCAUUGCAGCCUUUUUGUGGUACCAUCCUUCCCA
This 914-nucleotide long non-coding RNA is filed under the name Coturnix japonica (Japanese quail). Its description in RNAcentral is "lncRNA (ENSCJPG00005005402.1)". Lineage: Eukaryota; Metazoa; Chordata; Aves; Galliformes; Phasianidae. The record is from RNAcentral.